CCUACGGGGGGCAGCAGUGGGGAAUAUUGGACAAUGGGGGAAACCCUUAUCCAGCGACGCCGCGUGAGGGAAGAAGGUUUUCGGAUUGUAAACCUCUGUCAGUGGGGACGAUAAUGACGGUACUCACGGAGGAAGCCACGGCUAACUACGUGCCAGCAGCCUCGGUAAUACGUAGGUGGCAAGCGUUUGCCGGAAUUACUGGGUGUAAAGGGAGCGUAGGCGGGAUGUCAAGUCAGAAGUGAAAAUUAUGGGCUCAACUCAUAACCUGCUUUUGAAACUGAUGUUCUUGAGUGGGCGAGAAGUAUGCGGAAUGCGUGGUGUAGCGGUGAAAUGCAUAGAUAUCACGCAGAACUCCGAUUGCGAAGGCAGCAUACCGGCGCCCAACUGACGCUGAAGCACGAAAGCGUGGGUAUCGAACAGGAUUAGAUACCCGAGUAGUC
This 440-nucleotide ribosomal RNA is filed under the name uncultured bacterium. RNAcentral describes it as "partial 16S ribosomal RNA". It matches the Rfam family "Bacterial small subunit ribosomal RNA", at positions 338 to 795 of the family's 1533-position model. The record is from RNAcentral.